Molecule: ribosomal RNA, 241 nt
Filed under: uncultured Actinomycetales bacterium
Lineage: Bacteria; Bacillati; Actinomycetota; Actinomycetes; Actinomycetales
Description: partial 16S ribosomal RNA
Rfam family: Bacterial small subunit ribosomal RNA
Source: RNAcentral
ACUCGAGUGGCGAACGGGUGAGUAACACGUGGGUGAUCUGCCCUGCACUUCGGGAUAAGCCUGGGAAACUGGGUCUAAUACCGGAUAGGACCACAUUUUGGAUGGUGUGGUGGAAAGUUUUUCGGUGUGGGAUGAGCUCGCGGCCUAUCAGCUUGUUGGUGGGGUAAUGGCCUACCAAGGCGUCGACGGGUAGCCGGCCUGAGAGGGUGUACGGCCACAUUGGGACUGAGAUACGGCCCAG